This is a long non-coding RNA of Xiphophorus hellerii (green swordtail), 591 nucleotides long. RefSeq lists it as uncharacterized. The record is from RefSeq and is a predicted model, not a curated record. The transcript is spliced from 3 exons. NCBI's taxonomy places the organism in Eukaryota, Metazoa, Chordata, Actinopteri, Cyprinodontiformes, Poeciliidae.
CGGAGAGAAGAGGCACUGUUGUCCCAAGAAGCUGUCUCAAACGCAGCACGUCUUUAAAUAUCGAAAACGUCUCUUCUCGCUGGUAAAAGGUGACUUGAAGCGGUGAGCUAACGCCACCGAACUUUUCUGGAACGCAUGCGCAUAAGCGCUCAGUCUAAGCAAAUGAAGAUGAAAGAGGAAGCCAGGGAUCAGGAAUUAGAAAACCUACAGACUUUCCUGUCUCAGAAGAGGCUCUGGCUCCACCAGAUCACCAACCAGUUCUGAGGACGAACCUCCACAUCGUCUUCAUGGUGGAAGGCUUUUUUUUUUUUUUUUUUUCCAAACUGAACAGCUGGCCACGUUUUUAACGGCAACAACUGGGCCCUGUGAUGGACUGGUGACCCGUCCAGGGUGAACCUCGCCUCUUAUCUGAUGACAGCUGGAGACGGGCACCACCAGCCCCCCUCACCACCCUGCAAGGAUCAACGUGUUCAGAUCAUGGAUGGAAAGCUUUUAAGGUAGAUUGUCUCCCUUAAGUCCACACUUAAAACAACUUCAUUGUUAAUGCCACCAUCAACUGAUUCUAUGAUAUUGCUGACUAUUUUUUUCUAC